This 359-nucleotide ribosomal RNA is filed under the name Escherichia coli MP1. RNAcentral's name for it is "bacterial SSU rRNA". It matches the Rfam family "Bacterial small subunit ribosomal RNA", at positions 1 to 354 of the family's 1533-position model. Lineage: Bacteria; Pseudomonadati; Pseudomonadota; Gammaproteobacteria; Enterobacterales; Enterobacteriaceae. The record is from RNAcentral.
UUAAAUUGAAGAGUUUGAUCAUGGCUCAGAUUGAACGCUGGCGGCAGGCCUAACACAUGCAAGUCGAACGGUAACAGAAAGCAGCUUGCUGCUUUGCUGACGAGUGGCGGACGGGUGAGUAAUGUCUGGGAAACUGCCUGAUGGAGGGGGAUAACUACUGGAAACGGUAGCUAAUACCGCAUAACGUCGCAAGACCAAAGAGGGGGACCUUCGGGCCUCUUGCCAUCGGAUGUGCCCAGAUGGGAUUAGCUAGUAGGUGGGGUAACGGCUCACCUAGGCGACGAUCCCUAGCUGGUCUGAGAGGAUGACCAGCCACACUGGAACUGAGACACGGUCCAGACUCCUACGGGAGGCAGCAG